This 627-nucleotide long non-coding RNA is filed under the name Anas zonorhyncha (Eastern spot-billed duck). Its description in RNAcentral is "lncRNA (ENSAZOG00000004794.1)". Lineage: Eukaryota; Metazoa; Chordata; Aves; Anseriformes; Anatidae. The record is from RNAcentral.
UGCCCGCAGGAGGGGCAGCGCCGCCCGCCCGCCCUCGCCCCAUUUUCCGCGCUCGCUCCCUCGGGGCGCAGCGAGAGGGGCCGAGGGGGUUCGGGAGCCCCCCGGGGAAAAAGGAGGGGCUGCGGGGGGGGGGCGCCUUUGUUCCUCCCCAUCCCCAUCCUCGGCGGGGCGGGCCCCGCGCAUGCGCCGGGCAGAGACAAAGGAAGGGGCGGCUGCGCCCCCCCGGCGGCGGGGAGCCCCCCCGCGACCCCCACCGCAUCCCGGCUCCCCCCGGCGGCCUAAGCUCCGCUCCGCAGCCGUGCCACGCCUGCCCAAACGCAGCGGAGGGGCCGGCCCGGCGUUUUCCGUCAAAUUGGGGUGUGUAAAGUAUCUCCAGCUUUUCCUCCUGUCUGCAAGGAAUUGGAGGAAAAUGCUGGUAUCAGGAAGAAGAAAGCACCGAGCAAGGCACCUGCAGGAGGAUGGAGAGCUGUCUCUUCUGGAAAUGUAGGUCAUACCAGCUAUCCCGUUUCCACCUUGGCCAUUAGGGACCAACUCCAACCCUACAUUCCUGAUUCGCCCUUUCAUUUGGAUCCAGCUUCUCCUUCUGCUUUACAAGCAGCUCUGUGCUUUGUGAGGUCUGACAGCAGA